UACUGCUCUCUCUGUCUCUCUUUACUUCUUUUCUCUCACAAUCUUCUUCAGUGCUCUCUUCUCUCUCUCUCUCUGAGUUUGUAUCAGAUUAUGUGACUGUAAGAUGUCACAGAUGACACAGUCUUUUCUUCAUUUUUUUCUUUAUUUUUCUUUUCAGAACACUCAUUUUUUCUCUUUUCUUUUAUCUAUUUCAUCUGUUUUUCUUCUAUUGUUAGAAGUGCAGAUAGUUCUCAGAUCAACUGAGAGAGAUAUCUCUCUUCAUUCACUAUAAAAUCUUUCAGACACAGCAGCAGCAGUUCUCUUGAGAAUCACACUAUAGCUUCAUCAUAAAUGAUCAUAC
RNAcentral lists this small RNA (340 nucleotides) under Histoplasma ohiense. RNAcentral's name for it is "hypothetical lncRNA". The record is from RNAcentral. Lineage: Eukaryota; Fungi; Ascomycota; Eurotiomycetes; Onygenales; Ajellomycetaceae.